UGCAUUUUCAUAAGCGGAGGAAAAGAUACCAACAGGGAUUGCCUUAGUAGCGGCGAGUGAAGCGGCAAAAGCUCAAAUUUGAAAUCUGGCUCUUUCAGAGUCCGAGUUGUAAUUUGAAGAAGGUAUCUUUGGGUCUGGCUCUUGUCUAUGUUUCUUGGAACAGAACGUCACAGAGGGUGAGAAUCCCGUGCGAUGAGAUGAUCCAGGCCUAUGUAAAGUUCCUUCAAAAAGUCGAGUUGUUUGGGAAUGCAGCUCUAAGUGGGUGGUAAAUUCCAUCUAAAGCUAAAUAUUGGCGAGAGACCGAUAGCGAACAAGUACAGGGAUGGAAAGAUGAAAAGAACUUUGAAAAGAGAGUGAAAAAGUACGUGAAAUUGUUGAAAGGGAAGGGCUUGAGAUCAGACUUGGUAUUUUGUAUGUUACUUCUUCGGGGGUGGCCUCUACAGUUUAUCGGGCCAGCAUCAGUUUGGGCGGUAGGAGAAUUGCGUUGGAAUGUGGCACGGCUUCGGUUGUGUGUUAUAGCCUUCGUCGAUCCUGCCAGCCUAGACUGAGGACUGCGGUUUAUACCUAGGAUGUUGGCAUAAUGAUCUUAAGUCGCCCGUCUUGAAACCACGG
This 612-nucleotide ribosomal RNA is filed under the name Candida tropicalis. RNAcentral describes it as "eukaryotic LSU rRNA". It matches the Rfam family "Eukaryotic large subunit ribosomal RNA", at positions 37 to 664 of the family's 3401-position model. The record is from RNAcentral. Lineage: Eukaryota; Fungi; Ascomycota; Pichiomycetes; Serinales; Debaryomycetaceae.